GAUGAACGCUGGCGGCGUGCCUAAUACAUGCAAGUCGAGCGAACAGAUGAGGAGCUUGCUCCUCUGACGUUAGCGGCGGACGGGUGAGUAACACGUGGAUAACCUACCUUUAAGACUGGGAUAACUUCGGGAAACCGGAGCUAAUACCGGAUAAUAUAUUGAACCGCAUGGUUCAAUAGUGAAAGACGGUUUUGCUGUCACUUAUAGAUGGAUCCGCGCCGCAUUAGCUAGUUGGUAAGGUAACGGCUUACCAAGGCAACGAUGCGUAGCCGACCUGAGAGGGUGAUCGGCCACACUGGAACUGAGACACGGUCCAGACUCCUACGGGAGGCAGCAGUAGGGAAUCUUCCGCAAUGGGCGAAAGCCUGACGGAGCAACGCCGCGUGAGUGAUGAAGGUCUUCGGAUCGUAAAACUCUGUUAUUAGGGAAGAACAAAUGUGUAAGUAACUAUGCACGUCUUGACGGUACCUAAUCAGAAAGCCACGGCUAACUACGUG
This 497-nucleotide ribosomal RNA is filed under the name uncultured bacterium. RNAcentral describes it as "partial 16S ribosomal RNA". It matches the Rfam family "Bacterial small subunit ribosomal RNA", at positions 28 to 507 of the family's 1533-position model. The record is from RNAcentral.